AUGGCUGAAGCGGCGCCUGCCCCGAAAUCACACUGUGGACCGUGGUGCCUGCUGUUCAGGCCUUGGAGAAGAAAAGUGGAUUCUUGCCUGGCCCGCUUGCUGACUCUGGAGGGAUGCUCAGGGACAGCAGAGAAGAAGCUGGCUGACUGUGAGAAGACAGCUGUGGAGUUCAGCAGCCAGCUGGAGGGCAAGUUGGCCGUGCUGGGGACCCUGCCUCAGGAGUCUAGGCUGCUGCAUGAAGAACCUCAUGGGCAACUGGAACUUCUGGGUCCAGCGGCUUCCCCCUGGCAACAAGGGGGAGGUCCCCAAGAUUAUGCCAUCUCCAAACCGGUCAUUCUCACCCAGAUAGAGAGGGGAGAAGAGCCUUGUCCUGCAGGCCCCUGGGGCCAGGAGAAGGGGGGUGAGGAGAAGACAAUAUGUCAAAGGAAACCAAACACCAGUAUUUCUCUGAGUCCAGAGCAGGCCCCAAGUCCAGCUAGCCCUGCCCAGGAGGAACUGAAUCAAAGGCAGACACCUGAGCAGCAGCAAGAGGAAGCAACCAUGAUUCCACCUGAGCCAGGCACUG
RNAcentral lists this long non-coding RNA (565 nucleotides) under Mus musculus (house mouse). RNAcentral's name for it is "zinc finger protein 783". Lineage: Eukaryota; Metazoa; Chordata; Mammalia; Rodentia; Muridae. The record is from RNAcentral.